RNAcentral lists this ribosomal RNA (389 nucleotides) under uncultured bacterium. Its description in RNAcentral is "partial 16S ribosomal RNA". It matches the Rfam family "Bacterial small subunit ribosomal RNA", at positions 338 to 724 of the family's 1533-position model. The record is from RNAcentral.
CCUACGGGAGGCAGCAGUGAGGAAUAUUGGUCAAUGGGCGCGAGCCUGAACCAGCGAAGUAGCGUGAAGGAUGACUGCCCUACGGGUUGUAACCUUCUUUUAUAAAGGAGUAAAGUGAGGCACGUGUGCAUUUUUGUAUGUACUUUAUGAAUAAGGAUCGGCUAACUCCGUGCCAGCCGCCGCGGUAAUACGGAGGGUCCGAGCGUUAUCCGGAUUUAUUGGGUUUAAAGGGAGCGUAGAUGGGUUGUUAAGUCAGUUGGGAAAGUUUGUGGCUCAACCGUAAAAUUGCAAUUGAUACUGGCAGCCUUGAGUACAGUCGAGGUAGGCGGAAUUCGUGGUGUAGCGGUGAAAUGCGUAGAUAUCACGAAGAACUUCGAUUGCGAAGGCAG